GACGAACGCUGGCGGCGUGCUUAACACAUGCAAGUCGAACGGAAAGGCCCUGCUUUUGUGGGGUUCUCGAUUGGCGAACGGGUGAGUAACACGUGAGUAUCCUGCCCUUGUCUUUGUGAUAUCUUCAGGAAACUGGGGCUAAUACCGCAUAGGAUCUCCUGCUGCAUGGGGGGGGUUGGAAAGUUUCGGCUGUUGUGGAUGGUAUCGCGGCUUACCAGCUUGUUGGUGGGGUAGUGGCUUACCAAGCCUUUGACGGGUAGCCCGCAUGAGAGGGUGACCGGCCACAUUGGGACUGCGAUACGGAGCAGACUGCUACGGGAGGCAGCAGUGGGGAAUCUUGCACAAUGGGCGGAAGCGUGAUGCAGAAGCGCCGCGUGCGGGAUGCCGGCCUUCGGGUUGUAAACAGCUUUCGACUGUGACGAAGCGUGAGUGACGGUAAUGGGUAAAGAAGCACCGGCUAACUACGUG
Molecule: ribosomal RNA, 468 nt
Filed under: uncultured bacterium
Lineage: Bacteria
Description: partial 16S ribosomal RNA
Rfam family: Bacterial small subunit ribosomal RNA
Source: RNAcentral